GCCUAAGGUGGGACAGAUGAUUGGGGUGAAGUCGUAACAAGGUAGCCGUAUCGGAAGGUGCGGCUGGAUCACCUCCUUUCUAAGGA
RNAcentral lists this ribosomal RNA (86 nucleotides) under Rossellomorea aquimaris. RNAcentral's name for it is "Bacillus aquimaris partial 16S ribosomal RNA". It matches the Rfam family "Bacterial small subunit ribosomal RNA", at positions 1455 to 1533 of the family's 1533-position model. The record is from RNAcentral. Lineage: Bacteria; Bacillati; Bacillota; Bacilli; Caryophanales; Bacillaceae.